RNAcentral lists this ribosomal RNA (301 nucleotides) under uncultured bacterium. Its description in RNAcentral is "partial 16S ribosomal RNA". It matches the Rfam family "Bacterial small subunit ribosomal RNA", at positions 509 to 807 of the family's 1533-position model. The record is from RNAcentral.
CAGUCGCCACGGUAAUACAGAGGGUGCGAGCGUUAAUCGGAUUUACUGGGCGUAAAGCGUGCGUAGGCGGCUUUUUAAGUCGGAUGUGAAAUCCCUGAGCUUAACUUAGGAAUUGCAUUCGAUACUGGGAAGCUAGAGUAUGGGAGAGGAUGGUAGAAUUCCAGGUGUAGCGGUAAAAUGCGUAGAGAUCUGGAGGAAUACCGAUGGCGAAGGCAGCCAUCUGGCCUAAUACUGACGCUGAGGUACGAAAGCAUGGGGAGCAAACAGGAUUAGAGACCCCCGUAGUCCCUGUCUCUUAUAC